CCCUUAGAUGUUCUGGGCCGCACGCGCGCUACACUGAUGCAUUCAACGAGCCUAUCCUUGACCGACAGGUCCGGGUAAUCUUUGAAUCUGCAUCGUGACGGGGAUAGAUUAUUGCAAUUAUUAAUCUUCAACGAGGAAUGCCUAGUAGGCGCAAGUCAUCAGCUUGCGUCGAUUACGUCCCUGCCCCUUGUACACACCGCCCGUCGCUCCUACCGAUUGGGUGUGCUGGUGAAAUGUUCGGAUCGGCCGUUUGUCGCGGUUUCCGCGUCAUGUGGCUGAGAAGUUCAUUAAACCCUCCCACCUAGAGGAAGGAGAAGUCGUAACA
RNAcentral lists this ribosomal RNA (325 nucleotides) under uncultured eukaryote. Its description in RNAcentral is "partial 18S ribosomal RNA". It matches the Rfam family "Eukaryotic small subunit ribosomal RNA", at positions 1470 to 1796 of the family's 1831-position model. The record is from RNAcentral.